UGGAAACCGAGAGGCUUUAGAAGGAGUCUUUGAUGGUCAAAGCUAGGGCCUGCUCUCUCUUAAGAGAUCCAUUUCUCAAAGACUUCAUAUGGUUUCCACCAUUGAAAAUUCUAGCGAGAGAGAGAGGAGAGGACUAAACCCUAGUUCGAUCAACCAAGUUAAGAUGAAGCAAGAGGGGGCAUGGAAGGGAUGGAAGGAGAGGGAGAAGUAAAGGAGUCUGCUUGCCCUCUACUCUACUCCGGAUUCGAGAUGAUCAAGAGGCAAGAGAAGUUACCGGCUCAGCUCUUGAUUGAUGAGGGAAGGGAGCACUCAGAAAUCCUAAAGAGUACUCUGAUCUCUAAA
This 342-nucleotide long non-coding RNA is filed under the name Elaeis guineensis (African oil palm). Its description in RNAcentral is "long non-coding RNA (EGUI_LNC032525)". Lineage: Eukaryota; Viridiplantae; Streptophyta; Magnoliopsida; Arecales; Arecaceae. The record is from RNAcentral.